AUGAUAUGGAUAUGUGGAUUGCCAUUAACCAUCAAGGAGGUUUACAUCCGACCAGACUAUCCGGUCCGUCUACACCCGUCUCCGGUCCGUCUACAUCCGCCCGAGACUAGUCAAGAUGAAGACUCAUUCAACCGGAGCAUUUAUGAGCUUUGACCAAGACUAUAUCUUUGUGGUCAAUAUGUAAUAAAUGUGUAGAUACUCUCCUUGUUGUAAACCCUUAUGAACCUCCACUAUAUAUUGAUAGUGAGAGCUAAUGAGAAAGACACAACUUUCACAACAACACUUCUCUCAUAUUUCACCCUCGUCACUUAAGUUUCAAACGGACCCCUUCUUCUCUCUCGAUUUCGAAUGAACCCUGGAUUCUGGGAUUUUCCCCCUUUGUCGCGAGAAAGAAAGAGACCAAAUAUUAUGUUAGGUUUUUUUGGGCCAAAAAUCUCAUUUGUGGCACAAUAAAACUCUUGUUUAAUAAUGGUUGGGUCUGGUUUUUUUUUAAUUGGGUCGAUCUCGGGUUUCAAUUAACCAAACGGCAAAUCACAUGCCGUUACCAUCUCCGACGUCCACGUGGCGUUUCCAACACGAGGCGUUUCCGACAGAUUAAAUUAAGCUAAUGAUGUUAGUAACAUAACAACAUAUAGUUCAGGGAUGUUAGCAUGUAAUCCAUAUACUUCGUGUAGUUGAGUGUGCAUUUUUAAAGUUGGCAUGGUUAAUCAUGUGGUAGCCGAUACUUCGGGUAGCUGUCAAUCAUUUUUCCUAUUUUUAAUGGACUAAUAGUUAAGCUUCGAGUUACUGUUUUUGUAUCACGAGAACCUUUUUUCAUUUUGUUCUUUUUGUCUUAGAAAAAUAAUAUAGUUCUGAUCAGUUUCUAGCAUAUGCAUUUAAAAUCUGAUGCCAAGUUGCCAUCCACACAAAGGUUUUAGUGGUACGAGACUUUGAGAACCCAAAACAAUCUUACAAUACUUAAAUAUGUGUGGUCAGAUACAAAAUUAUGUUUUAGGUUUUAUCUGAUUAUCCGAAGAGAAAAUUCAAUCUAUGGUUGCACCUCAUUUUAAAGAUUAAUUUUAAUCUUUGCAAUAGAUCCAUAAUACCCCGAGUUAAUAAUAACUAGAUUCUGAGUCGCCCUUUAUAUUUUUUAUUUUAAUUUUUUUUGAGAAAUUUAAUUUUAUAUUUGUGUUUUUUUGUAAUUAAUAUUAAUUUAAUAGAAUAGGUUAUUUUGGUAAUUAUAGUAAAUAUGUCAAGUUACAUAAAUAUACACUUGUGCUCUAUGUAUUUCAGAAAUUAUUUUUAGACUUUAUUUCUAAAGUUUGCAACAUAUUAUAUUUUUUUAGUAAUUACCUAACAUAAUUAGUCAAGAAUAUUCGUACCCAAAAAAUCCGACUCAAAAUCGACCUGAAAAUCAAAAUCUUAUACUCUAUUAGAAUGUACUCGAACGGUUCUUAAAGUGUUAUAUCCAAAAACCGAUAUCCGACCCAACCCGCACCCGGAACAAAUUUUUUGAAAAAUGUUUGAAAAUAUAAUUUUUAAUAUCUGAUAGGAUAAUUAUAAAACCCAAAACAUGAAACCAAAGAACUAAAUAAUAGCUAGAAGAAUUGGUUGUAAUGUUCUGGAAAGGAUAAAUACCCUGGGUCCCACGUGUUGGUAAAAUAUCUAGAAUGCAUUACCUAUUAGGACACAUUCUUGACUUUCCUUACAACUUAAAGACACAUGUUGCUUGAGAAGCACAUUUUCAGUUUCUAAGGUGUAUUUGGGACAGAAAUGCCAUAUUUGGGUGAAGGAAAAUCGUGAAACAAGUGGGUCUCUUUAGCUGUCAAGUUUGUGGGACCAAAUUUUGUGGGGACCAAACUUAAUGAUAUGCGGUAUAUCUAUUUAUAAUAAUAAAGGAGAGUUUUCUCUCUUGUUAAGCUUCCACCUCAGCAUAUACCAUGAGCUUUUGUUGACAUGUGGCGUCUUUACUUAAAUCACGAUCAUAAUAUUCUUGACGAUAUGAAUCCCAUUGUAACCUCACUGUCUUCUCUGUAAUUCAGUCGAUUCAGUUUUCUCACCUCCAUUACAAACCUAAGGGACUAUAUGUGUCGUCAAGGUUUUUCAAAACAAAAUUUAAUCGAAUCAUAAUCUAGAAAAACCCUUUAAACAGAGCUUCCACCGAUGGCAAUUAACCAACUCCACUUUUCCAAUUUGAAGGCUGGACGUUGCAAGGAGAUAGUUGUGACAUGUCUUCUUCGAUUUUGGGAGACCAGUAAUGUGAAGAAAGCAUGUGAGCGUCUGGAUGUGGAUCUGGUUUUGUGGACAAGAAGCUUUUGAAGCAUGCCGGAUUCAAAACUUACCCAAGUUGGUGGAGGAUAUAUUUCAGACAUCGAUAAACACAGAUCCAGGUGGUGCGUUACGCCUUGUCCAAAGGCGUUCAGGCCUUUGUUGGGUCAGAGGAGAGUGGCUGAAUGAUAUUCUAAGUGCACAAGAGUGUCUGGUGGAUUACCAACUGUCAUCUUGGUCUACUGUCUCCUCUAUAUUUGAGGAAGCUCUUUGAACACAUGUGAACUACUUACAUUAAGUUGGGCCAGCUUCUGCACCAACUUUUUUCCCACCAGAAUAUGUCAAAGAGUUUCAGCAAAGCUCCUCCAGUUCCUUUUGAAGAAGUUCAUAAAAUUUUGCAAGAGGAACUUGGUAGAUCCAUAGACAACGUAAUAUGUUGACCCUACACAACUUGCAUCAGCCUCAAUAGCACAAGUCCAUGAACCAUGGCGCAGGGCUUAGAGGCUAACAAGAGGAUGUCGUGAUUAAGGUCUUGAAGCCUGGAACAGAAGAUUUCUUAGUGGCAGGUUUGAACUUUACCUAUGAUGUUUCCCGUAUAUUUGAGUUCCUUAGUCUUGAGUUCGGCCGUACUUCACUGGUAGGCUCGCUCUCAAGUAGCUGUGAGAAUCCCGUCUCCUCUGUCUUAAUUUAGAGUUGAUGCUAGGUUAUUCUCUAAACAUAUAUCCUUACUCUUGCUUAGAAAUUCCGGAAGCGUUUUCAUUACAACCAUAUGAUCCAAGUUUUGAUGUUUUGUUAUCUGUAUUUUUUUGGGGUUGGUCUCUAUCAUAUCUAAUGACAUUUCUUUUUCCUUUUGUUGGUAUUUUUCGGCCUGAUUUCAGCUCUAUACGCUCAUAAAUGGCUCGGUUCAAGCUUCUAGACACUACUAUAGUUUGCCACACCAUCAAGUAGUUAAGAUAUCUGCUCUUUUUGUGUGAUUUUUCAACUUCUUUUAAACUAAUAUGCAUCCCUAUACUGCACAUGGGGUAUGCAUUAUGAAUAUAUCAUUGGUCUUAGUUCAAGUGAUUUAGUUUGUUUAGACGUCUAAGAUUAUAUACGCAUCUCCUUAAUGGCAUUGGUCCAUUAAUAUAGUUAAGUUAUGUGUUUUUAUAUGUCAGGAAUUAUUUCUUACUAAAUGGAUUGGGGUGCAGUUGUUGUUGGGCACUAUUCUUGGGUUUCUCAUCAAACUACUAACAUGUCUGAUCGACUCAUCAGUUUCCACUCCACGACCAAAAAUCAGGUAUGUUCUUAAUUCUACUUUCUCCAGAAAAAUGAGAGCACUCUGAGUUGUCUUGAUCUUGAUUCUUUUUAUUUCCAAGAGACAUCAUGGUUUUGUAUGCCAUGACUCAAACCAAGACUGUCGACGAAAAAGGUUUAGAUAAAGGCUUUCUGGCUCUUGCUUUUUGUUGUUUGUAGGAGUAAAUGCACCUCCAUUAGAUUAGGAAUACAAGGAUCCUCAUUAAACAAACUUUUUACAAUCCCUGGAGCAACAAGAAGAGAAAAAAAGAUCUUUCAAGGAUUAAGGAUGUUAGAGCUGGUGAAAAGGAUAUGGUGCUGCACACAGGGACCAGAUCAACGUCCAGAGAGGCAGAUGAACAAAACUGAUAUAGAGUUCCUGAACAGCAAGAUCUUUGCAAAUUUGUGGUGCAUUGUGUGCUUUGGCUUCCGCUUAUUUGAGUAAAAUAUGGAUAUGUUUCACAACACUGAGUAUUCAAAGAUUGUAUAUGAUACCUAUUUGAGACUC
Molecule: long non-coding RNA, 4027 nt
Organism: Brassica napus (rape)
Lineage: Eukaryota; Viridiplantae; Streptophyta; Magnoliopsida; Brassicales; Brassicaceae
Exons: 5
Source: RefSeq, a predicted model, not a curated record